This 313-nucleotide unclassified non-coding RNA is filed under the name uncultured fungus. Its description in RNAcentral is "partial contains small subunit ribosomal RNA, internal transcribed spacer 1, and 5.8S ribosomal RNA". The stretch from base 1 to 73 matches the Rfam family "Eukaryotic small subunit ribosomal RNA", at positions 1759 to 1831 of the family's 1831-position model. Lineage: Eukaryota; Fungi. The record is from RNAcentral.
UCAAACUUGGUCAUUUAGAGGAAGUAAAAGUCGUAACAAGGUUUCCGUAGGUGAACCUGCGGAAGGAUCAUUACCAAAGUGGUAUGGCGGGCCAAAGUCCGUCCAUCCCCUCACCCACUGUGUACCUCACCACCGUUGCUUCGGCGGGCCUGGCCUACGCCGGCCGGCCGGCCCCCUCCUUGGGGGUUGGCCAGCGCCCGCCGGAGGUCCAACUAAACUCUUAUAAUUGUGAUGCUGUCUGAGCUUUGCAAGCAAAUAAAAUAAAACUUUCAACAACGGAUCUCUUGGUUCUGGCAUCGAUGAAGAACGCAGC